This 422-nucleotide ribosomal RNA is filed under the name uncultured bacterium. Its description in RNAcentral is "bacterial SSU rRNA". It matches the Rfam family "Bacterial small subunit ribosomal RNA", at positions 355 to 774 of the family's 1533-position model. The record is from RNAcentral.
UAAGGAAUAUUGGUCAAUGGACGCAAGUCUGAACCAGCCAUGCCGCGUGAAGGAUUAAGGCCCUCUGGGUUGUAAACUUCUUUUAUAGGGGAAGAAAUGUGACGGUUCUCCGUCACUUGACGGUACCCUGGGAAUAAGCACCGGCUAACUCCGUGCCAGCAGCCGCGGUAAUACGGAGGGUGCAAGCGUUAUCCGGAUUCACUGGGUUUAAAGGGUGCGUAGGUGGGCAGAUAAGUCAGUGGUGAAAUCUUCCGGCUUAACCGGGAAACUGCCGUUGAUACUAUUUGUCUUGAAUUAUCUGGAGGUAAGCGGAAUAUGUCAUGUAGCGGUGAAAUGCUUAGAUAUGACAUAGAACACCAAUUGCGAAGGCAGCUUACUACAUAUAAAUUGACGCUGAGGCACGAAAGCGUGGGGAUCAAACA